GCGGAUGUAGUUCAAUGGUAGAACAUCAGCUUCCCAAGCUGAGAACGCGGGUUCGAUUCCCGUCAUCCGCUCUA
This 74-nucleotide transfer RNA is filed under the name Ilumatobacter sp. Its description in RNAcentral is "tRNA-Gly". It matches the Rfam family "tRNA". From Rfam's summary of the family: Transfer RNA (tRNA) molecules are approximately 80 nucleotides in length. Their secondary structure includes four short double-helical elements and three loops (D, anti-codon, and T loops). Lineage: Bacteria; Bacillati; Actinomycetota; Acidimicrobiia; Acidimicrobiales; Ilumatobacteraceae. The record is from RNAcentral.